RNAcentral lists this unclassified non-coding RNA (150 nucleotides) under uncultured Halosphaeriaceae. RNAcentral's name for it is "sequence contains ITS2". The record is from RNAcentral. Lineage: Eukaryota; Fungi; Ascomycota; Sordariomycetes; Microascales; Halosphaeriaceae.
ACACUCUCAAGCACUGCUUGGUGUUGGGUGCUUGUCUGCCAUUGCGCAGACUCACCCUAAAUGUAUUGGCAGCAGCACCGCUAGCUUCUUGCGCAGCACAUUGCGGUAUAAGCGGCUAGCAACAGGUCUGCAACCACGAAGAAAUCUCCA